Molecule: ribosomal RNA, 468 nt
Filed under: uncultured bacterium
Lineage: Bacteria
Description: partial 16S ribosomal RNA
Rfam family: Bacterial small subunit ribosomal RNA
Source: RNAcentral
GACGAACGCUGGCGGCGUGCUUAACACAUGCAAGUCGAACGGAAAGGCCCUGCUUUUGUGGGGUGCUCGAGUGGCGAACGGGUGCGUAACACGUGAGUAACCUGCUCUUGACUUUGGGAUAACUUCAGGAAACUGGGGCUAAUACCGUAUAGGAGCUCCUGCUGCAUGGUGGGGGUUGGAACGUUUCUGCGGUUGGGGUUGGACUCGCGGCUUAUCAGCUUGUUGGUGGGGUAGUGGCUUACCAAGCCUUUGACGGGUAGCCGGCCUGUGAGGGUGACCGGCCACAUUGGGACUGAGAUACGGCCCAGACUCCUACGGGAGGCAGCAGGGGGGAAUAUUGCACAAUGGGCGGAAGCCUGAUGCAGCAACGCCGCGUGCGGGAUGACGGCCUUCGGGUUGUAAACCGCUUUCGCCUGUGACGAAGCGUGAGUGACGGUAAUGGGUAAAGAAGCACCGGCUAACUACGUG